GCGUAGGGUAUGUAGGCUGUGAAAAACAGUGGAAAUUAAAGACUGGGUAGCAAUCCUUUAUGUUUCCUCGCUGAUUUCACUAGAAUCUUAGAAGGAUGAUGGUAUUAAUCAGGAAUAGUUAAAUAUGAGAUAGAUAAAGGACCGACAGUGGUGAAAACAAUCUUCUUAUCAAGUAUUGAGCUAAUAUACGAAGGCAGGGGAGCGAAACGGAUUAGACACCCGUGUAGUCCGUGCUGUCAACGCUGAAUUUUCAAUGUAGGUCGGUUUGAAUACUAUUUUAGCCUCCGGGGGUAGGAUAAUGGGAAACAGUGUUAUUUUAGAAUGAAAAACUAGUAACGCUUAAAUAUAACAAAAUCCUACUUAUUCGGAAAAACUUGGUAGGAUAAUGGGAAACUUGGUGUUUUAGUAACGCGUUAAAUUUUCCGCUGGGAAGUACGGCCGCAGGUUGAAACUCAAAAGAAUUGAGGUGGCUUGUACGAGG
Molecule: ribosomal RNA, 481 nt
Filed under: Arcyria ferruginea
Lineage: Eukaryota; Evosea; Eumycetozoa; Trichiida; Trichiidae
Description: partial small subunit ribosomal RNA
Rfam family: Bacterial small subunit ribosomal RNA
Source: RNAcentral